GGAGGCGCGGGCAUGACGAAGUCAUGCCAUCUGAAUCGCGCCGACCGACGCGCCGCCGAGCGAAUGUGAGGGGGCAUUACAUAU
This 84-nucleotide small RNA is filed under the name uncultured Blautia sp. RNAcentral describes it as "GA-cis RNA". It matches the Rfam family "GA-cis RNA". Lineage: Bacteria; Bacillati; Bacillota; Clostridia; Lachnospirales; Lachnospiraceae. The record is from RNAcentral.